Molecule: non-coding RNA, 87 nt
Organism: Marasmius sp. AFHP31
Lineage: Eukaryota; Fungi; Basidiomycota; Agaricomycetes; Agaricales; Marasmiaceae
Source: the annotation of a GenBank genome assembly
AGCAGCAUGGCGCAGUGGUAGCGCGCGGGGCCCAUACUCCCUUGUAAUGGAACCCCGAGGUCACUUGAUCGAAACAAGUUGCUGCUA